CCUAGGGAGGCAGCAGUGGGGAAUAUUGGGCAAUGGGCGCAAGCCUGACCCAGCAACGCCGCGUGAAGGAAGAAGGCUUUCGGGUUGUAAACUUCUUUUAUCAGGGACGAAGCAAGUGACGGUACCUGAUGAAUAAGCCACGGCUAACUACGUGCCAGCAGCCGCGGUAAUACGUAGGUGGCAAGCGUUAUCCGGAUUUACUGGGUGUAAAGGGCGGGAAGGCGGGGGUGCAAGUCAAAUGUGAAAACUCUGGGCUCAACCCAUAGCCUGCAUUUGAAAUUGUCCUUCUUGAGGGCUGGAGAGGCAAUCGGAAUUCCGUGUGUAGCAGUGAAAUGCGUAGAUAUACGGAGGAACACCAGUGGCGAAGGCGGAUUGCUGGACAGUAACUGACGCUGAGGCGCGAAAGCGUGGGGAGCAAACAGGAUUAGAUACCCGAGUAGUC
This 442-nucleotide ribosomal RNA is filed under the name uncultured bacterium. RNAcentral describes it as "partial 16S ribosomal RNA". It matches the Rfam family "Bacterial small subunit ribosomal RNA", at positions 338 to 795 of the family's 1533-position model. The record is from RNAcentral.